This 1055-nucleotide long non-coding RNA is filed under the name Apteryx haastii (Great spotted kiwi). RNAcentral describes it as "lncRNA (ENSAHAG00000010487.1)". Lineage: Eukaryota; Metazoa; Chordata; Aves; Apterygiformes; Apterygidae. The record is from RNAcentral.
CCCCGGGGCGCCCCGGCCCGCUCGCCGCACCUGUGGCACGCGUGGCACCCGCUGCAGAACCCUCGGGUGCCCGUCGCGCCCCUCGCACCCAUUGCAUACGCUGCACCCGUUGCAUGCACUGCACCCAUUGCACCCGUUGCACGCAUUGCACUCAUUGCACCCGUUGCAUGCACUGCACCCGUUGCAUUUGCUGCAUGCAUCACACCCAUUGCACCCGUUGCAUGCGUUGCACCCCUUGCAUGCACUGCACCCAUUGCACCUGUUGCAUGCGUUGCACCAGUUGCACCCGUUGCAUGCAUUGCACUCAUUGCACCCGUUGCAUGCACUGCACCCGUUGCAUUUGCUGCAUGCAUCACACCCGUUGCACCCGUUGCAUGCACUGCACCCGUUGCAUGCACUGCACCCGUUGCAUUUGCUGCAUGCAUUGCACCCGUUGCACGCGUUGCGCCCGUUGCGCCCGUUGCAGCUAUUGCAUGUGUUGCACCCCGUUGCGUCCCUUGCACCCCUCAUGCCUGUCGCGUGCGUUGCGCCCGCUGCACCCAUUGCUUCUGCCGCAUGCACCGCACCCCGUUGCAAAGCCCAUUUGCACCCAUCACGUGCGUGGCGCCCCCGUUGUGUGCAAUGCGCCCGUUGCAACGCCCAUUUGCACCCAUUGCACCCCGCUGCACCCAUUGCACCCGUUGCAAAGCCCAUUCGCACCCAUUGCACCCCACUGCACACACUGCACCCAUUGCAACACCCAUUUCCACCCAUUGCACCCCGCUGCACCCAUUGCAAAAUCCAUUGCACCCCACUGCACGCAUUGCACCCAUUGCAACACCCAUUUGCACCCUGCUGCACCCAUUGCACCCCAUUGCACCCCAUUGCACCCCGCCGCCGCCCCGCGCCCGCCGCAGCACCCGGCACCUGCCGCCUCGGUGGCGUUUUCGUCCUGCGCGGGGUCGUCGCAGCCCCAGGGCUCGGCCGGGAGCCGCUCGGGGGCGAACGUCACCUGCGGCGUCACCCACAGCACCGGGCGCGACCUGCGGGGAGGCGCCGUGGGCCGGGGGGACCCC